CACCACUUUUUUAAAAAUACAAAAGAAAUUUAUUCUAAUUUUAAAAUAACCCAAACGAAUUUUCAAACUUUUUUUUUUUUUUUCCUGUUUUCUUAUAAAUGCGUUUAAAAUGUAGAUUAUAAAUAAAUUUGAAUGGCCGCCAUUCAAAAUUCGAAGACUCGCGAUAUUUUUGAGGUGAAUAGGUACGAGGAAAUAUUUUAGUCGUCGUUUCGAGUGAAUAAUCGCGCUGUAGAAGCUCCAUUCUUAAUGUUUAAAUAUAUUUAUAAUGUCACGUUGAAGUUCUUAACGGUAAUUUCCAGACCAUUAAAAGUACAAGCUACAUCUGGCCAAUGGCACCGGUUGCCAUCUUAAACUCGAGCAAAUAUCGAUCACGGUGGCAUAAUUACUCAUCUGAUUAAUACUACCAGAUAGGCUACUAUUUACACUUUCUAGGCGAGGUGGAGGUAAUUUUAUAAAUCAUUGGAAUCUGGCGUCAUUAAAAAAGUCAUUCUAGACUCUGUAUCCCAUUUCUGUCAACAGCAGAACGAGUUACAACCAGUAAUGUAAAGGAUUCUUCGCAUUAUUAUUUUUUUACAGAUGUUUUAUUGGUGGUCGAACUUCAAAAGCGUCGUUACCAUUGUUUUAAUACUGGAAUGGCCACACUCGAGAUUGGGCGAAUAAUUAAAGGUCGUAAACUUAUCCGAGAAGUGACGACGCUUCUCAAAUAAACCGUAACUAUCUCUGGUGGGAGAGCGAAUGACUCAGAUUAAAACAGCCCAAUGGUUAAGUUACAGUUUAUUGAAUUUCGCUUAGUUCCAGCAGUCGUCUUUCGAUCUUUCCCCACCGUAUAAUUUUAGGCCGGUUCCCUCUCUCUCCCGUCAUCUCCCAAAAAACAUAAAAAAGGUCAAAUUCUCCGGACCAUCCUUCCCUCCAGCUACACACGCUAGCUUUUUCAAACCGAGAUUCGGUUAAGAAUAACUGGUCCAGACUUUGUCAGCCUUGUUUAACACCUUAUCGCAGCCGGUUCGUUUUUAUUAUUUAAAUAUCAAAAAUAUAAAUUUUGGCUUAAAAUAGCGACAUAAAAUCAAAAUUCCCUUUCCGAAGGUUGGCCAGCUGUAAGAUUUCCAUUUUAUAUCGUCCUCUUACGCUUUAUACAUAUCGUAUAAGACUUCUUUAAUUAAAUUAGCCAGCUUUCUGAUCCCGAUAAUCUUAUCUAAUCAAAAAAUCGUGCAGGAACAGCAAAAAUAUAGCAAACAUUUUUUUUUUUUUGUGUGGUAAGGAAAAAUAACCGAAGCUGUUUUUCUUAUAAAGAAAAAAAGUCGAAUAUUAUGUCUGGCCAACUUAAGUCAAUUUCUGGAGCAUAAAGGUAUAGUCCAAUCUAAAAAAUAAUUCUUUAUAAUAAAAUUAAAAACUGAAUAAAUUGGGAAGAUGAAGUUACUAAAAAGUUUCCAAUGGGGAUGGUCUAUGGCAGUGCCAGGCGGCUUAAAGGUAAUGGACUUUAUUGUAUUUCGGAUCAAUUUUAUUGGCAAAAAUUUGGAAUCUUUAAAUGGCCUAUUUUCCUAGCGAAAAAAUAUGCGCAGUCUAAUAAUUCCGCAAUUUAUCAACUACCCAACAAUUUUAAAAAAGGCAGUUUUCCCAACUUACCGAUAUUUGGGCUUGUUUGUAUGGCGGCCAUUUUUAUUCCCAUGGCUUAGUUUAUCCGGAAAUUGGCCUAGCUAGGUCUUAAUCUUGGUUACAAAAUCAUUUUUACAGUUUUGAACACUCCGACUGCGUUUUUUCUGGAAAGAAAUUGGGUGUGAAAUCCAAACAAUUUUAUCUGGCUUUUCAAUCAUUAACUGGAAAAAAGCCAAAAUUUUACCUAAUUUGAGUGGAAAUGACGAAAAAUUCUGGCAUUUUAAACUUUCAUUUCUGCUCACCUUUAAACUCUUUAGGCGACUCUGGUCCGCCAUCCCAGGAAGAUUAUUCAGUUACGGCUUAAGGCUCGAUUCUCGAAUAGCGCGGUUAAUUUUCCGGCCAAUAUUUGGCUCUACUCGUGGAUUUUAUAACAAUAACAACGAUAAUUGGCAGCGGAAGCACGGUGUCCGGAAAAUAUGUUUUCUGGAGAAUUACCCCACACGCUACUCGGUUAAUUAAUCGAAUAGUUGGGCUUUAUUUUAGUCGAAGCGGGGUUUAUACUGGAAACGCAGCUAGUCACCUUCCCCUCCCCCAAUCGAAAUCUUUUCUCCGGAAAUGACGCUUCACCAAUGGACUCUAAAAUUCUGGCCUUUGAUUGGUGCAGACGGUACAACUACACCAUCGUUUGGAAGCUGCCCACUACCAGGCGGAGGGAGAGAAACGGAAAUGCUUUAAAGCCCAGUCUGCCGGUUACUGUCAUGUUAGAAGAGAGUUACUGAGCGGAGAGGAGGUUAGAAAUCCGGUUACCUAGGUCUAGCUGUAUGACGGCGGCAAAGCUUGGCAAAGAUCCAAUCUGACACGGAACUGCUUCCCUCUGACGUGGUGCCCUUCCUCACAAGACCAGCAUGGCUUCUCUAGAUAACCUUCCUAGCGACGGACCUUCCGUUACCCUUACCAUUCGACUUAUUAUGCAAGGAAAGG
RNAcentral lists this long non-coding RNA (2574 nucleotides) under Androctonus crassicauda. Lineage: Eukaryota; Metazoa; Arthropoda; Arachnida; Scorpiones; Buthidae. The record is from RNAcentral.